GUACUUAGCGUGGCAGGCGGCCCGCGGGCGGUGGUGGAGACCCUCUGUGGGCAGGGCCUUGUGCUGGGACGACCAUCCCUCAGCCGCAGGGUCGCCCGGUGACUUUCAGCUUUGAAUUCAGAGACUAUUGACGCCCCAGGCGGGGCCAGCGUCUCCAGACCAGGCCACGGGGCUGCAGAGAGAAGAACACGCCUGCUUUUGCCGCGGAUCGCGAGCGCUCGGGCGCAAAGACCCAGAGUGAGGUGGGGCUGACACGUCAAAGACAUUAUAAGGAAGAAGAUGAAACUCAAAGGCUCCACAAAAUUACCCAUGAAUAUGAUCCAGCAUUGGAAUGCACCCUGGAGCUUGAGGACAUGCCUGAAAUCCCCUGCAAACACUUGUCUUUCACUCCUCCUCAUACGCAGAAAGGAUGUGCACAUAUGACCCCUGGACUCACACAUGAUUCCAGCCCACAGUCACACUAAACUUGGGUUCGAGUUACACGUGUGCUUGCUUACACCUCAACUCACACACUCCCACCUGGACAUUUGUGUACACAGGCCUAUUCAUUCCUAGCAGAGCCAAAAUCUGCAUUUACAGCUACAUCAAAAACACACUUUUAGGUCCCUCAGAAACAAAUGGCAACAGAGAAGGGAAACAGGGCAGCUCUAAGAAUGGCCCUGCUCCCUCCUCUUCUGUCCGGGAGCAAAGCAACCAGGAUCUUUUGGGCUAAGUCGAUAUGCUGGGCCCCAGUGUAGACUCUUACAACAGGCCCUGAUCCGACUCCAAGGCCAAGAGCAGCAAUCCCCUCCCCGCCACGUCUGCUGGGUUCCUCCAGCUGUCUCCAGGGCAGUUCUCCCUACAUGCAAACUAUUAGCAUUUCCUGUUAAAACAUUUCUAAUAAAUAAAUGAAUACAUCAUCUUCCCAACCCAAAGCAGGUCUGAAAGCAGCCUAGGAGCUACUCCAAGCUAAGGAUGGACGUGGACCACCCAGCACCAGCCCACUGGCCCAGGGCCAAUGUUGCUUUUGUUUGAAUUCCUGU
RNAcentral lists this long non-coding RNA (1022 nucleotides) under Equus caballus (horse). RNAcentral describes it as "lncRNA (ENSECAG00000045251.1)". Lineage: Eukaryota; Metazoa; Chordata; Mammalia; Perissodactyla; Equidae. The record is from RNAcentral.